AAAAAUCCAAAAAUUUUCUCUCUCUCCCCCUUUCUUCUCCCCAAAAUCCGGCCAAGCUUCCGGCGAGCCAACGCCGUAGCGUCACCACGCCGGCCACCGUACACGGUGGCCGAAAAACAGAAAAGGUAUUUUUUUUGCUCUUUCUCUUUAUAUUUUUUUUCUUUUUUGCAAAUGUAAACUGUUUUUCAAAAUAAAUAAAUAAAUAAAUAAAAAUAAAAAUAAACAACAAUAAAAAGAGAUAAAAAAGAAAGAAAUGCAAAACGGAAAUCACCUUUGAUUUUUAUAUUUCUUGGUUUUGUGAAAUGUUACAAAAGAAACAAAAAAAAAAGAAUCCCCUUUUACAGUGUUCGGCUUUUGCCGAAAGAGAAAAAACUCCGAAAAAAAUCCCCCCAUUUCGGUUUACAAAUCAUUUUUAUACCCGAAAUAAAAUAAAAUAAAAAUAAAUUGAUCUUUGCUAUUGUCUCCUGUGCCUUUGCUUGUUUCUCUCUGUUUGGCAUCUGUUUUUGCAGGAGUAGGUGCGGCGUCAAAGGUAGGAGUGAACGGCGUCGGCGCUGAUGGGAUGUGCGGCGAUGGCAGAGCAGGGGUCAGAAUGGUACGGCGCAUGCGGAAGGGGCUAGGGUUCUGAAACCCUAGUCUUUGUUGGGUUUGGGCCAUAAUGUUUGGGCUUGUUUUGAAUCGGGUUAGUAUUUGGGUCUGGGUAGGUUUAGGUUUGUUUAGGCCCGAGCGAAAUUGGGCUUGUACAAUGUAGAACAUAAUUCUUCCAAAAUGAAUUAGAAUAUUGGUCUUUGUUUUGCAGCUUUAGCAAUGCGAUUGUUCUUUACCCUCAUUCCCUGCAUUCAUCUUUUCUAACUGGUUAUUGGAUUUGAUCCC
Molecule: long non-coding RNA, 870 nt
Filed under: Gossypium barbadense (sea-island cotton)
Lineage: Eukaryota; Viridiplantae; Streptophyta; Magnoliopsida; Malvales; Malvaceae
Description: long non-coding RNA (GBAR_LNC021990)
Source: RNAcentral